UACGAAGGGGGCUAGCGUUGCUCGGAAUCACUGGGCGUAAAGCGCACGUAGGCGGACCUUUAAGUCAGGGGUGAAAUCCUGGAGCUCAACUCCAGAACUGCCUUUGAGACUGCAUCGCUUGAAUCCAGGAGAGGUGAGUGGAAUUCCGAGUGUAGAGGUGAAAUUCGUAGAUAUUCGGAAGGACACCAGUGGCGAAGGCGGCUCACUGGACUGGUAUUGACGCUGAGGUGCGAAAGCGUGGGGAGCAAACAGG
This 253-nucleotide ribosomal RNA is filed under the name uncultured bacterium. RNAcentral describes it as "partial 16S ribosomal RNA". It matches the Rfam family "Bacterial small subunit ribosomal RNA", at positions 524 to 776 of the family's 1533-position model. The record is from RNAcentral.